GGUCCGGUGGCUAGGCCCCUAGAACAGUGGUUCUCAACUAGGGGUCUGAGGAGUCUUCGCAGGGGUACAACUCAUCUAGAUAUUGCCCUAGUUCUUCAACAGGCUCCAUCAAAAGCACCUGCGAAGUCAGUAGAAACUAAAAUUUCCUACAGACAAUGACUUGUUUAUACUGCUUUGUAUACUACACACUGAAAUGUAAGUACAAUAUUUAUAUUCCAAUCAAUUUAUUUUACAAUUAUAUGGUAAAAAGCAGACAGUAAGCAAUAUUUCAGUAACCGUGUGCUGAGACACUUUUGUAGUUUUAGGUCUGAUUUUGUAAGCAAAUAGUUUUAAGUGAGGUGAAACUUGGGGUACGCAUGAUAAACCAGACUUCGGAAAGGGGUACACUAUUCUGGAAAGAUUGAGAGCCACUGAUCUAGAAGAUCCACAUUGAAGUCUCUCCCUGUGGGACCCUGGGUCAGUUACUUUGCCUCCGUGCGUCAUUUCCCCAUCUGGACAAUGGGGGUAACCAUGCUGCUCUGCCUCACUGGGGGGUUGUGAGGCUCAACCCAGUCAAGGUCAGGACACACGCAUAUGCUGUGACAACAGAGGCGCCUUAAUCAGAUUGAUUUCAGUCUAUGGACCGUGCCACUUACACCAGCUCUGAACUCGGCAACGCUGGUUUUAAACCUUCUGUUGGGCUUAAUCCCUGCAUUUAUACAGUGAGGCUAAUAACAAUGGACUUUUGUAUUUGUGUCACAACAGCACCUCGAGGCUCCAUGGCACUUGGUGCUGUACAUAGUAAGAGACGAGCCCUUCCCUGGAGGACUUACAAUGUAAAUAGCCCAGACAGACAAAGUGGGGAGGGAGAAGACGGAGCGCUGUACCCAUUGUACAGACAGGAACCUGAACCACUGAGAGAUGAAGUGACUGUGUACGGGGAGACUUUGGCAAACCAGUGAAGUGCCUAAAACCACUAUGGCUUAUUGCUAAAAGCAGCCAAGUCAGCAGGCUGUAAAUUAGCCAGGUCAGCAGGCUUAGCUUAACCAAGGCAAGAGUUGCUGAUACAUGCAUCUUAGAAGAGCAGGAUGUUCUGGGGAGGGGUGGAAGCGGAACCCAGAUCUCUGGAGUCUCAGUCCACUGCCGUACGCAGAAGCCGACACUUCCUCAUCUCAGCCACUGGUAUCCGUCACUAGCCCCCAGAGACGCAGGCAGGGCUGGGAGGCAGAGGUGUGGUGGAGUGCCUGUGACAGACCUGGGGCUGCUCUGGGACCACCUGUGAAUGCUGCACGUGACCGGGUUAUCGGGAUGUUUGCUGGCUGGCUACAGGGCUGCUGGGAAACGGGAAGGCAAACCGGUGACGAGAAAGACAGCCCUCAAUGCGCACCGAGGGGGUUGUGACAAGGACCCGGACCCGCUGGCUGCUUCUGGUGCACAGUGCGCUACCAGGCCAGGCAGGCAGCCUGCCUUAGCCCUGCCCCGCUCACUGGGAGCCACCCAAGGUCCUACUCCAGCCUUCUGGGGGAACCAAGGGGCAACACUGAUCCUUGGCUGGGUGUUCGGCAGAGCAAACUGUACUGACAUACUGCACAACCGUCGAUGGCAAACGAAAGAGCUUCCUGAAAAACUGGGAUAAGAAGUCUCGAGGCACAGAAAGUCAUUCGCAAAAGUUGAAGGUCAGCGGCCCUCAUUACCAAGCACCCUCUGAUAAACUGUCAUGCAGCGAAGAAAGUUCUCUGGUUUGUCCAGCCAGGAGCGAGAAAUCCCAAUUACACCUAAUGAAGUGAAACUCGGCCAACGGCCAACAGCAAGGACAAAGGAAGCUUCGGUGGAUGGAAAUAGCCCCAGCGCUGUUUGUAAUAACCUCACAGCUCUUGGCAUAGGUCUGCAGCUACCGCACCAAGAUUUUCCCAGCUGCUUGAUCUCAA
This is a long non-coding RNA of Caretta caretta (loggerhead turtle), 1907 nucleotides long. RefSeq lists it as uncharacterized. The record is from RefSeq and is a predicted model, not a curated record. Lineage: Eukaryota; Metazoa; Chordata; Testudines; Cheloniidae.